Molecule: small RNA, 365 nt
Filed under: Histoplasma capsulatum var. duboisii H88
Lineage: Eukaryota; Fungi; Ascomycota; Eurotiomycetes; Onygenales; Ajellomycetaceae
Description: Histoplasma capsulatum H88 hypothetical RNA
Source: RNAcentral
CUCACCAAUCGUCCGGCUGCCAUUGCUGGAUGAAUGGUGGAGUCUGCCCAUAAAAGAGGGGAUAAUGCAACCCAGAUAUAGCCAAUGCUUUCAAGUCUAUAGGCACGAACAAGCAGCUUAAAGGUUUGGCGACGAGCUAGAUAUGACUAUACAAUACUCCGAAGGAGACUCCAGCAUGAAACAUAAAAAGAUCUCGUGACAAUCAGGCAGGCAGGCUCACGGAUGUCUCGAUAAUUUCAGCAACGUAUAAAAGUGACUUGUAUGGAAAUAUAAAGCUACUCCCAGAUUUUCACUAAUUAAUUAAUCAAUGAAAAGUAAUAUAUUACUUCUCCUGAACUCAAUCCAUUUGAGUCGGAAUUUGUCUA